RNAcentral lists this ribosomal RNA (580 nucleotides) under uncultured bacterium. RNAcentral describes it as "bacterial SSU rRNA". It matches the Rfam family "Bacterial small subunit ribosomal RNA", at positions 346 to 917 of the family's 1533-position model. The record is from RNAcentral.
UGGCAGCAGUGGGGAAUAUUGCACAAUGGGGGAAACCCUGAUGCAGCCAUGCCGCGUGUGUGAAGAAGGCCUUCGGGUUGUAAAGCACUUUCAGUAGGGAGGAAGGUAGUGUAGUUAACACCUGCAUUAUUUGACGUUACCUACAGAAGAAGCACCGGCUAACUCCGUGCCAGCAGCCGCGGUAAUACGGAGGGUGCGAGCGUUAAUCGGAAUUACUGGGCGUAAAGCGCAUGCAGGCGGCCUAUUAAGUCAGAUGUGAAAGCCCGGGGCUUAACCUCGGAAUUGCAUUUGAAACUGGCAGGCUAGAGUCUUGUAGAGGGGGGUAGAAUUUCAGGUGUAGCGGUGAAAUGCGUAGAGAUCUGAAGGAAUACCAGUGGCGAAGGCGGCCCCCUGGACAAAGACUGACGCUCAGAUGCGAAAGCGUGGGGAGCAAACAGGAUUAGAUACCCUGGUAGUCCACGCCGUAAACGAUGAGUGCUAAGUGUUAGAGGGUUUCCGCCCUUUAGUGCUGAAGUUAACGCAUUAAGCACUCCGCCUGGGGAGUACGGCCGCAAGGCUGAAACUCAAAGGAAUUGACGGA